GGUUCCAUGGUCUAACGGUUAUGACUGCGGAUUCUGAUUCUGCCAGCGAGGGUUCGACUCCCUCUGGAACCC
This 72-nucleotide transfer RNA is filed under the name Cerataphis brasiliensis yeast-like symbiont. Its description in RNAcentral is "tRNA-Gln (CTG) (tRNA-Gln-CTG-1-1)". It matches the Rfam family "tRNA". From Rfam's summary of the family: Transfer RNA (tRNA) molecules are approximately 80 nucleotides in length. Their secondary structure includes four short double-helical elements and three loops (D, anti-codon, and T loops). Further hydrogen bonds mediate the characteristic L-shaped molecular structure. tRNAs have two regions of fundamental functional importance: the anti-codon, which is responsible for specific mRNA codon recognition, and the 3' end, to which the tRNAs corresponding amino acid is attached (by aminoacyl-tRNA synthetases). tRNAs cope with the degeneracy of the genetic code in two manners: having more than one tRNA (with a specific anti-codon) for a particular amino acid; and 'wobble' base-pairing, i.e. permitting non-standard base-pairing at the 3rd anti-codon position. The record is from RNAcentral. Lineage: Eukaryota; Fungi; Ascomycota.